Molecule: ribosomal RNA, 465 nt
Filed under: uncultured bacterium
Lineage: Bacteria
Description: bacterial SSU rRNA
Rfam family: Bacterial small subunit ribosomal RNA
Source: RNAcentral
CCCAGACUCCUACGGGAGGCAGCAGUGAGGAAUAUUGGUCAAUGGCCGGAAGGCUGAACCAGCCAAGCCGCGUGAGGGAGGAAGGCGCAGAGCGUCGCAGACCUCUUUUGCCGGGGGACAAAAGGCCGGACUCGUCCGGUCCUGAGGGUACCCGGAGAAAAAGCAUCGGCUAACUCCGUGCCAGCAGCCGCGGUAAUACGUAGGGGGCAAGCGUUAUCCGGAUUUACUGGGUGUAAAGGGAGCGUAGACGGCAGCGCAAGUCUGGAGUGAAAUGCCGGGGCUCAACCCCGGAACUGCUUUGGAAACUGUGCAGCUAGAGUGCGGGAGAGGUAAGCGGAAUUCCUAGUGUAGCGGUGAAAUGCGUAGAUAUUAGGAGGAACACCAGUGGCGAAGGCGGCUUACUGGACCGUAACUGACGUUGAGGCUCGAAAGCGUGGGGAGCAAACAGGAUUAGAUACCCGUGUA